This 254-nucleotide ribosomal RNA is filed under the name uncultured bacterium. Its description in RNAcentral is "partial 16S ribosomal RNA". It matches the Rfam family "Bacterial small subunit ribosomal RNA", at positions 524 to 776 of the family's 1533-position model. The record is from RNAcentral.
UACGGAAGAUCCAAGCGUUAUCCGGAAUUACUGGGCGUAAAGAGUUGCGUAGGUGGCAUGUAAAGCGAACAGUGAAAGGUCCCGGCUCAACCGGGGAUACAUUGUUCGAACUCACAAGCUAGAGCAUGAGAGAGGUACCUGGAAUUCCCAGUGUAGGAGUGAAAUCCGUAGAUAUUGGGAGGAACACCGAUGGCGUAGGCAGGGUACUGGCUUAUUGCUGACACUAAGGCACGAAAGCGUGGGGAGCGAACGGG